RNAcentral lists this transfer RNA (72 nucleotides) under Dallia pectoralis (Alaska blackfish). RNAcentral's name for it is "tRNA-Thr". The stretch from base 6 to 66 matches the Rfam family "tRNA", at positions 6 to 65 of the family's 71-position model. Rfam says of the family: Transfer RNA (tRNA) molecules are approximately 80 nucleotides in length. Lineage: Eukaryota; Metazoa; Chordata; Actinopteri; Esociformes; Umbridae. The record is from RNAcentral.
UUAUUAGUAGCUCAGUGGUAGAGUGCAUGCUGUGUGUUUAUGAUGACCUGGGUUCAAUCCCCAGCUUCUCCC